This 441-nucleotide ribosomal RNA is filed under the name uncultured bacterium. Its description in RNAcentral is "SSU rRNA". It matches the Rfam family "Bacterial small subunit ribosomal RNA", at positions 26 to 518 of the family's 1533-position model. The record is from RNAcentral.
AGAGCGAACGCCGGCGGCAGGCCUAAUACAUGCAAGUCGAACGCACCUUCGGGUGAGUGGCGGACGGGUGAGUAACACGUGGGAACGUGCCCUUUGGUUCGGAAUAAUCCGGGGAAACCUGGCCUAAUACCGGAUGUGCCCUUCGGGGGAAAGAUUUAUCGCCAUUGGAGCGGCCCGCGUCUGAUUAGCUAGUUGGUGGGGUAAAGGCCCACCAAGGCGACGAUCAGUAGCUGGUCUGAGAGGAUGAUCAGCCACACUGGGACUGAGACACGGCCCAGACUCCUACGGGAGGCAGCAGUAGGGAAUCUUGCGCAAUGGGCGAAAGCCUGACGCAGCCAUGCCGCGUGAAUGAUGAAGGUCUUAGGAUUGUAAAUUCUUUCAGCGGGAAGAUAAUGACUGUACCCGCAGAAGAGCUCCGGCUAACUUCGUGCCAGCAGCCGC